AUGGUAGCCGACCAGCAGCGCCGCGUGAAGCUGAUAGUUAGCUACGGCGGGAGGAUCGAGCGCGCCGAGAGUCGCCCGCCGAGGUACGUCGGCGGCGAGCACCUGCUCCUCAACGUCCUUUCGUCCGUCUCGACGAGGGGCUUCCGCGACCAGCUGGCGGCGCGCGCGGGCUUCUCCAACUUCUCCGUCAAGUACUGCUACUCCGGCGAGGGGCUGGACUCGCUCUGCGACGUGGACACGGACGAGGACCUGCGCGACAUGCUGGACAUCUUGCUCUACCGGGACCUUCAGGCCCGGCUGUUCAACGACAAGAACACGCGCCGGUUCCGAGUCUACCUGUUCCGUGACGCCGCCGCCGCCCCGUCGCUGACCUCCCAGGCCCUCGGGAAACCAGCUCCCAUGCGGCGUAGCGCGACGUCGCCAGCUCUGUUGCCGGCGAAGCCGGCCGACGUCGACGGGCGGCCCUCCCAGGGCCUGGCCGCUCCCGCUCCCUCUCUCGUGCCGCGGAUCACGACGUCGCCGAAUCCGUUGUGCAAGACGUCGACGGCUCGCCCCCGCUCUCGCAUGGCGGAUAGCGUCGUCGCCUUUGUUGACGGCAGACUCGACAGAUGA
This 612-nucleotide ribosomal RNA is filed under the name Triticum aestivum (bread wheat). Its description in RNAcentral is "partial small subunit ribosomal RNA". Lineage: Eukaryota; Viridiplantae; Streptophyta; Magnoliopsida; Poales; Poaceae. The record is from RNAcentral.